Molecule: long non-coding RNA, 597 nt
Filed under: Cervus hanglu yarkandensis (Yarkand deer)
Lineage: Eukaryota; Metazoa; Chordata; Mammalia; Artiodactyla; Cervidae
Description: lncRNA (ENSCHYG00000007970.1)
Source: RNAcentral
GGGAAUCAGAGAAGGCAGUUGAGAGGGGGACCAGAGAAAAGAAAUGGUGUGGAGAAGCCUGGGGCUCCUGCUCUUGGUCUAGGUUCCUUUGCAGACUCUGCAUCUCAGAGAGGGAUGCUAACUUUGGAUCUGAACUGACUCCUGGCCUGGGGUGUGUUUCUUGCUUCCUUCCUUCAGAAUCCUCAUCCAGUGGCCAUCCAGCUCCCGACCCCCAUAGAAUUUCCAUGGAAAACUUGGGUUUGGAUGAAGACCUACUAUUGUUUUUUGGAGCCUCCAGCACAGAACUGGGCAACCUCCAGACAGCACUUCGGAGCAGGAGCCCCGCUCUGCCUACCAAGCCAGACUGUGAAAGCCACAAUCUUCAAGAAUGCUCCGCCUCUGCUAUUAGUCUUGAGGCAUUUCACCCAAAGAGCCAAGUUUAAAAGCUAAAAUAUUCCGAGCCUCUCACUCUUCCCUCCCAUCCUAGGAGCAGGCUGUGGAUUUGAUGCAUCCAUCAUCUGUCUUAUGUUGUUCAACUGUAAAUUAAAAAAGAAAAAGAUAAUUUUAAUGCAUAAGCCCUUCCUCGCAUAAGUUGAAUCAUUACAGAAAUUAUUUUAU